Molecule: long non-coding RNA, 1192 nt
Organism: Carassius gibelio (silver crucian carp)
Lineage: Eukaryota; Metazoa; Chordata; Actinopteri; Cypriniformes; Cyprinidae
Exons: 6
Source: RefSeq, a predicted model, not a curated record
CACAUUAAAUCUACAAAUGGCCGCGGCCCCUCUUACAGAAAAAAAAUAAGGGGCAUAUGUUUAUUCAUAUUUUUAUUUAUGUAACGUAAGAGUGUGACUUUUAAUUCGUGACGUGCUUUCAUGGGCGUGCGCGCGGACCGGAUGGAGUUGCCAUGGAAACGGAGCGCAACACUGCAAAUGUCACGAGGAAACACCCCGUUUCUCGCUGAUUUCACUGUUUUCAGGAAUGGUUUAAUGUCUUCGAAAAAGUCCGUUAGCAUUUCUACCGUUUUCAGACGACGUAUCGUCAGAAGGGAGUGUCCAAGAUUUCAAUAUUUCUGAAGGGAGCUGCUGACAGAGAUGUAGGAAGCGCUAAAAACAUUCUUCAGUGCUGAUUCGGAGUGAACCUACUGUAAGACAACAUCUCCAAGAUGCUAUUGACCACAAGACUAGUACAGUUAUUAGAAACUGCACAGCACAGGACUUGCAGGACUUGUGAGGACUUCAGAUGAUACCAGUACUCAAAAGACCUUAGAUGAUGGCAACUAUAGAUGGACAUACAAACUACCGCCACUGCAAAAAAGAUUCUAAUUUGAAAGAAGUUUAUAAUGCAUGUUCGCUACUCCCAAUUCAGAAGACUGAAUCAGCCUGUGUAUCUGAAUGUUUCUCAUACUCACUCCUCUCUGCCACAUCUGAAUUUAGCUGUCAGUUAUAAACAUCAAAAUUAAAAGAAAUAAACAUUUGAAAUAUAUCAGUCUGUGUGUAAUGAAUAAAUAUAAUAUACAAGUUUCACUUUUUGAAUGGAAUUAGUGAAAUAAAUCAACUUUUUGAUGAUAUUCUAAUUAUAUGACCAGCACCUGUAUAUCAUUGCUCUUUUGUUGAUUUUGAUUACUUCCAUUGUCCUCAUUUGUAAGUUGCUUUGGAUAAAAGUGUCUGCUUAAUGUAAAUGUAAUGUUAAUGUGUAUUUAACUAUAUUUAUAAAUAUUUAUCUGUAUUUUUUAUUUUGUAAUAAUGUAAAUGUAUUUGUUUUAUAUCUAUACAUGCAGUUGUAUUCAUGUAUGUAUAUUUAUUUGUCUAAUUUUUAUAUUUUAAUAAAGCAGUUUAGACUACAUGAGUGUUUUCUUUAUUCUGGAUGAAUUACAUAUUCUUUUGUGUCUAGAAAGGGUUAAUAUGGGCCAUAUCUAACCCAGAAGUCAGCCACAACUGGGAUGGA